This 402-nucleotide ribosomal RNA is filed under the name uncultured bacterium. RNAcentral's name for it is "bacterial SSU rRNA". It matches the Rfam family "Bacterial small subunit ribosomal RNA", at positions 355 to 774 of the family's 1533-position model. The record is from RNAcentral.
UCGGGAAUUUUGGGCAAUGGGCGAAAGCCUGACCCAGCAACGCCGCGUGAGGGAUGAAGUAUUUCGGUAUGUAAACCUCGAAAGAAUGGGAAGAAUAAAUGACGGUACCAUUUAUAAGCUCUGGCUAACUACGUGCCAGCAGCCGCGGUAAUGCGUAGGGAGCAAGCGUUGUUCGGAUUUACUGGGCGUAAAGGGCGCGUAGGCGGCGCGGUAAGUCACUUGUGAAAUCUCUGAGCUUAACUCAGAACGGCCAAGUGAUACUGCUGUGCUAGAGUGCGGAAGAGGCAACCGGAAUUCUUGGUGUAGCGGUGAAAUGCGUAGAUAUCAAGAGGAACACCUGAGGCGAAGGCGGGUUGCUGGGCCGACACUGACGCUGAUGCGCGAAAGCCAGGGGAGCAAACG